RNAcentral lists this ribosomal RNA (524 nucleotides) under uncultured Fidelibacterota bacterium. RNAcentral's name for it is "bacterial SSU rRNA". It matches the Rfam family "Bacterial small subunit ribosomal RNA", at positions 8 to 513 of the family's 1533-position model. The record is from RNAcentral. Lineage: Bacteria; Pseudomonadati; Fidelibacterota.
AGGGUUCGAUUCUGGCUCAGGACGAACGCUGGCGGCGUGCUUGAUACAUGCAAGUCAAGGAGAACAUUUCCUUCGGGAAUAUUAUUAAACUGGCGAACGGGUGAGUAACACGUAGGCAACCUACCCUAGAGAUUGGGAUAACUCCGGGAAACCGGAGCUAAUACCGAAUAAUGCAGCGGAUCCUUCGGGAUAUUGUUGUUAAAGCGGGCUUCGGCUCGCACUUUUGGAUGGGCCUGCGCCCGAUUAGCUUGUUGGUAAGGUAACGGCUUACCAAGGCCAUAAUCGGUAGCUGGUCUGAGAGGAUGAUCAGCCACACUGGGAUUGAGAUACGGCCCAGACUUCUACGGAAGGCAGCAGUAAGGAAUUUUGCGCAAUGGACGAAAGUCUGACGCAGCAACGCCGCGUGAUCGAUGAAGCUUCUAGGAGUGUAAAGAUCUGUCGUAAGGGAAGAAAAACCUGGAUGUAAAUAAUGUUCAGAUUUGACGGUACCUUUCAAGAAAGCACCGGCUAACUUCGUGCCAGCA